This 851-nucleotide ribosomal RNA is filed under the name uncultured bacterium. RNAcentral's name for it is "bacterial SSU rRNA". It matches the Rfam family "Bacterial small subunit ribosomal RNA", at positions 8 to 859 of the family's 1533-position model. The record is from RNAcentral.
AGAGUUUGAUCCUGGCUCAGAUUGAACGCUGGCGGAAUGCUUUACACAUGCAAGUCGAACGGUAGAGGGGGCAACCCCUUGAGAGUGGCGAACGGGUGAGUAAUGUAUCGGAACGUGCCCAGUCGUGGGGGAUAACGUAGUGAAAAUUACGCUAAUACCGCAUACGAUCUAUGGAUGAAAGCGGGGGAUCGCAAGACCUCGCGCGAUUGGAGCGGCCGAUAUCAGAUUAGGUAGUUGGUGGGGUAAAGGCUCACCAAGCCAACGAUCUGUAGCUGGUCUGAGAGGACGACCAGCCACACUGGAACUGAGACACGGUCCAGACUCCUACGGGAGGCAGCAGUGGGGAAUUUUGGACAAUGGACGCAAGUCUGAUCCAGCCAUUCCGCGUGCAGGACGAAGGCCUUCGGGUUGUAAACUGCUUUUGUACGGAACGAAAAAGCUCUUAUUAAUACUAGGAGUCCAUGACGGUACCGUAAGAAUAAGCACCGGCUAACUACGUGCCAGCAGCCGCGGUAAUACGUAGGGUGCAAGCGUUAAUCGGAAUUACUGGGCGUAAAGCGUGCGCAGGCGGUUAUAUAAGACAGAUGUGAAAUCCCCGAGCUUAACUUGGGAACUGCAUUUGUGACUGUAUAGCUAGAGUACGGCAGAGGGGGAUGGAAUUCCGCGUGUAGCAGUGAAAUGCGUAGAUAUGCGGAGGAACACCGAUGGCGAAGGCAAUCCCCUGGGCCUGUACUGACGCUCAUGCACGAAAGCGUGGGGAGCAAACAGGACUAGGUACCCUGGUAGUCCACGCCCUAAACGAUGUCAACUGGUUGUUGGGUCUUCACUGACUCAGUAACGAAGCUAACGCG